GCCGCAUGGCAGGGGGUGGAAAGAUUUAUCGGUGCAGGAUGGGCCCGCGUCGGAUUAACUGGUUGGCAGGGUAACGGCCUACCAAGGUGAUGAUCCGUAGCCGACCUGAGAGGGUGACCGGCCACAUUGGGACUGAGACACGGCCCAAACUCCUACGGGAGGCAGCAGUGGGGGAUAUUGCUCAAGGGGCGGAAGCCUGAUGCAGCGACGCCGCGUGAAUUAAAAGGUAUUUCGGUAUGUAAACUUCUAUCAGCG
This 255-nucleotide ribosomal RNA is filed under the name uncultured bacterium. Its description in RNAcentral is "partial 16S ribosomal RNA". It matches the Rfam family "Bacterial small subunit ribosomal RNA", at positions 185 to 441 of the family's 1533-position model. The record is from RNAcentral.